This is a long non-coding RNA of Balaenoptera acutorostrata (minke whale), 4066 nucleotides long. RefSeq lists it as uncharacterized. The transcript has 4 exons. The record is from RefSeq and is a predicted model, not a curated record. Lineage: Eukaryota; Metazoa; Chordata; Mammalia; Artiodactyla; Balaenopteridae.
GUCGGCGGGACAUGCUUCACCGGCCCGGGCCACUCACCGAGGUUGAUGACCUUGAGCGCCGUGAAGAACUGGUCCUGCCGGGCCAGAUCGUGCCAGGGGGCCUUGGAGCAGUGGUACUUGAUGAAGGGGAAGCAGCCGAAAAGGAAUUUAUUGGAAGGAAAUUGGAUAGCUAAAAUAAUAAAUAGGACGUCUGCAGAACCAAGCUUAGAAAUGGGAAGGAAUCAAGAGAGACUGGCCGGCGAAGACAUAGGCUUGGGAAAAGGCUGAAGGAUUUCUGUUGGAAGACGCUGUCUUGGAAAAACCUCAGCAGUGAUGAGGGUUUCUCUAAUCAAAGGCUCUUUGAUUAUCUCUCUUUUCUACUCUAAGGCAACUUCAUAAUUCCAUCUUCCCAAAAAUUUUUAUCUUUUUGAGGUGCCUUUUACAGUCUUCCAGGGAAUUGAAAAUUUUUCCAUUAAGAGAAUUUUGUAAAGACUGAAAUAAAUGGAAAUCCGAAGGUGCAGUGUCUGGUGAAUAUGGCAGAUGAAUCAGAACUUCCCAGCCAAGCUGUAACAGUUUUUGUCUGGUCAUCAAAGAAACAUGCGGUCUUGCGUUAUCCUGAUGGCAGAUUAUGCAUUUUCUGUUGACUAUUCUGGAUGCUUUUCAUUGAGUGCUGCUUUCAGUUGGUCUAAUUGGGAGCAGUACUUGUUGGAAUGAAUGGUUUGGUUUUCCGGAAGGAGCUCAUAAUAGAGGACUCCCUUCCAAUCCCACCAUACAUACAUAUAACAUCACCUUCCUUGGAUGAAGACCCGCGUUUGGUGUGUUUGGUGGUGGUUCAUCUCGCUUGCCCCACAAUCUCUUCCUUUCCACAUUAUUGUACAGUAUCCACUUUUCAUCAUCCAUCACAAUUUGUUUUAAAAAUGGAACGUUUUCAUUACGUUUAAGUAGAUAAUCACAUGCAGAAAUACAGUCAAGAAGGUUUUUUUUGCUUAACUUACGUGGAACCCAAACAUCAAAGCAAUGAACAUAACCAAGCUGGUGCAAAUGAUUUUCAGCGCUUGAUCUGGAUAUUUUGAGUAUGUCCGCUAUCUCCCGCAUGGUAUAACGUUGAUUGUUCUCAAUUAAUGUCUCAAUUUGAUCGCUAUCAACUUCAACUGGUCUACCGCCUGACCGUGGAGCAUUGUCCAGUGAGAAAUCUCCAGCACAAAACUUGGCAAACUACUUUUGACAUGUUCGAUCAGUCACAGCACCUUCUCCUUCUCCAUACACUGCACAAAUCUUUUUUUGCGUUUCAGUUGCAAUUUUACCUUUCUUGAAAUAGUAAAGCAUAAUAUGCUGAAAAUGUUGCUUUCUUUCUUCUAUCUUCAAUAUUUAAAUGGCUACGCAAAAAUUCAUGAAUUUUUAAAAAACUAAUUAAUUUAUUUAUUUGGUUGCACCAGGCGGGCUCCUUAGUUGUGGCAUGCAUGUGGGAUCUAGUUCCCUGACCAGGGAUCAAACCCAGACCCCCUGCAUUGGGAGCAUGGAGUCUUAACCACUGUGCCACCAGGGAAGUCCCCCAAAUUCACCAAUUUUGAUAAGUUGUUUUUAAAUGCAUGCUGAUAUGACAGCUGUCACAAUACAGUCUAACAAAAUGGUUUCAAAUGAAGUUAAAGACAACAAGGCGCUACUAGAGCCAUCUUAUGAAAAAAACCCAAACGAACAUGUUGGCCAACCCAGUGCAUUGAUAGGACUCAAAACCCCAUGUUUGACCAUAGUUAAAAAGAGCCAUCUGAUUCUAGACUCAAAUGUAAAAGUUGCUGACACAAUUUAACAUCCUUUAGAUGUUACACAAUUAGUAAGGAAACAGGAAAUAGCAUUCUAGAUCCAAACUGUGGCCCAUCUACCCCAGGAGUCUGUCUGGCUCAAGGGAAAUUUGGGGGCAUACAUGAUGACUCUCAAAAAAAAAAAUGAUUUUUCACAACGGAAUCACUUGCAAAAUUUGUUGUAAAACAACUGUUUCUAUGCAUAUUGAAAGUACUUUUAUCUUUAAAACUGAAAGGCAUGCAAUAAGGAGUAAUAAGGAGUUUGGGUACCACCAACAAAGAUCCCAACUGUAAGCAAGUUAUCAAGCUCUAAAACUUGGAUUUUAUUCGGGGAACCUGAAUGAAGAGUAUGUAGGAAUUCUUUGGACUGCUUUUAUAGGUCAAAAAUUUUAUUCACAUUAAAAAGUUUAGUUUUGAAAACUGGGUUUUUAAUGGAGAGUGAAUCUGGCCAUAGUUUGGACAGGUAUGAGAAAUGCUGCUGCUGUGGGUAAUAGGCACAUUUAGUCCAAGCCAGCACUUCAGUGAACCACAUCUGUGGUUCAGCUCUUUCUUUUUAUUCCUUCUUGCUAUUUCGAAUAAAGCAAGAUGUUAAAGCUAACUACAUGCUCUAUUAAUUAUAUGAAGGUGAACUUGAGUCAUAUUUGUUACUGAAGAUGAUUAAUAAUUACCAGUUCUGCACAUGUUUCUAGUGCAUUUCAGUAAAUAAACAGGGUACAUUGUUGGGUAGUAAUUGAUUAAUUAGCACAUUCAUCCUACACAGCUCGAUGGUCUAAGGAUGCUGAGUUUGAGAUAUUGCUCAUAAUUAUUGCAAGAAACAAAUCUGUUCCAUUUCUCAGUUUAUUCUUCUGUAUGCUGAGAUUUUUUUUUUCUAAAUCGAAUGUUUAAUGGUUCAAAACCUUAUAGGUUUUAUUCAGAUAAAUCAACUCAUGAAAAAUUGCUAGUCAUAAUCUCAGAAUCUUGUUUUUGUGUGAACUAGGGUGAAAACUUUUACAAGGCUAAUUUUAACAUUAGAUCUUGCUGUUAAACUGGAUCAAGUACUGUAAAUAUAGGGCACUUUCCCCACCAUGCAGGAAAUGCUCAUUGAGCACCUAUGCGCAACAGGGGCACUGGAAUCUCAUUUGCUUCCCAACCACAUCAAAUAAGCUCAGGAUUGCAAGUGUCAUCGGGUUGGCACUUCGCAGCACCAAGCAAAUAUACUGUGUAAUCUUCAGAGAGGUGCAACAGCGUGUAUUGGUCACCAUUUUAACUAUGCAGCAAUUCAGGAUUUUUUUUUUCUAAUUUAUUGACCCAGCAUGUGGUUGAGAGAGAAUGUAGUUGAGAGAGUGUUGGACAGGGAGUCAGGAGUCCUGGGUUCUACUCUAUCUGUAUUUUUUCUUGAAGAAGCUCUGUGACUCUGGGCAUAUCAUUACUCCCUUCUCUAAGCAUGGAUCACUCAUCUGUAAAAUGAAGGCUUCUACCAGGGAUGAUGAGGUACAGUGAGGAGCCCAGACUGCAGAGAUAGAUAGACCUACGUUUGAAUCUGGGCUCCCUAUUACUGUUUUUUAUGAUUUUAGGGAAAUUAUGUAACCUCUCUGAGUUUCUGCUCUGUUUGCUUGAGUUUAUUGUAAGGACCAAAUGAUAUAUGAAAAUAGUUUGUGAACUAUAAAUUACCAUGUGAAUAUAAGGCAUUGUUACUAUUAUUAACUAUCUUAACUGGUUGUCAUUAACAUGAUAUGUGGAAGGAUGCAUCGAAAUGCCCACGUGCUGGUCUAACAAUAGAGGAUUAGUAACAUGCUUACGCCGUUAUUAAAAUGGCAUUGGGUAAGAAUUUCUGAUGUGUCUUCAUAAUUUAUUGCUAAGUGAAAAACACAGUCUGCAAAACAGUAUGUCUGAUGUAAUCCUAUUUAAAAAAUUAUAUACACAAAGAUAUAAUAGGAACUCAAUAUAUAUGUGAUAAAAGAACAAAUUAUAUAUAUAUAUUAACUGAGUGACUCUUUCUACUGAUAGGUACUGUUCUAGGAGCUGGGCUAUAUCUUUAUACUUACAGUCCUUUGGGUGAGACAGAUAAUUAAAAAAUAGGCAAAUCUAUUAUGUAAUACCACAUAUUGUUAAGUGCUUUGGAGAAAAAUAAAGGAGGGUAAGGUGUUAGAGAAUAAGGGAGUGCUAAUUAGGAAGGGUGGUCAGGAAGGGCCCCUCUGGUCUACUGACAGUUGAGCAGAGACUGAAUGCAGUGAGUGAGCCCCAGAAAUUUCUGGGAGAAGAGUGUGCCAGGCAGAAGUUAGAAAUGUAGAGGCCCUAGGCAGGAGUAA